RNAcentral lists this ribosomal RNA (466 nucleotides) under uncultured ammonia-oxidizing beta proteobacterium. RNAcentral's name for it is "bacterial SSU rRNA". It matches the Rfam family "Bacterial small subunit ribosomal RNA", at positions 198 to 645 of the family's 1533-position model. The record is from RNAcentral. Lineage: Bacteria; Pseudomonadati; Pseudomonadota; Betaproteobacteria.
GGAGGAAAGCAGGGGAUCGUAAGACCUUGCGCUUUUGGAGCGGCCGAUGUCUGAUUAGCUAGUUGGUGGGGUAAUGGCCUACCAAAGCUUCGAUCAGUAGCUGGUCUGAGAGGACGGCCAGCCACACUGGGACUGAGACACGGCCCAGACUCCUACGGGAGGCAGCAGUGGGGAAUUUUGGACAAUGGGCGCAAGCCUGAUCCAGCCAUGCCGCGUGAGUGAAGAAGGCCUUCGGGUUGUAAAGCUCUUUCAGCCGGGAAGAAAAGGCUGCGAUUAAUAAUCGCAGUUCAUGACGGUACCGGAAGAAGAAGCACCGGCUAACUACGUGCCAGCAGCCGCGGUAAUACGUAGGGUGCGAGCGUUAAUCGGAAUUACUGGGCGUAAAGGGUGCGCAGGCGGUUUUGUAAGUCAGAUGUGAAAUCCCCGGGCUUAACCUGGGAAUUGCGUUUGAAACUACAAGACUAGA